AAUCAGUUUUCAAUAAAUAUAGACAAAUUCCAUUGCCUGUUUAAAUUCUUCAUACUUUUUCGUUUUUCUAAAAACACAUGCUCACAAUUAAACUUAUGUUCUGCUUAAUAAGCCUGAACAUCUGAUUUUCCUAGUGAAGCCAUUUCCAAUUCGCUUAUGGUUUGUUAUAAAAGGUGCAUUUUUGUUAGCAGAAAUGUGGUUAUACUAAUUGUUUUGUGCGUGGCUUCACAUGCUGAUGACGUAUGUGAUAGGUGGUUGAGAAAAUGGUGCUGUGUUUUCCCUCAACACCCAAGAAACUUGCCAUGACCAUAACUUGCUUCCUCUCUGGUGCUGCAUUUUUUGCUGCUGCGGGGCACCUUUCUUAUGUCAAUGUUGCACCCCAACAAGC
Long non-coding RNA from Vigna angularis (adzuki bean), 388 nucleotides. RefSeq lists it as uncharacterized. Lineage: Eukaryota; Viridiplantae; Streptophyta; Magnoliopsida; Fabales; Fabaceae. The record is from RefSeq and is a predicted model, not a curated record. The transcript is spliced from 3 exons.